This 260-nucleotide long non-coding RNA is filed under the name Solanum tuberosum (potato). Its description in RNAcentral is "long non-coding RNA (STUB_LNC002770)". Lineage: Eukaryota; Viridiplantae; Streptophyta; Magnoliopsida; Solanales; Solanaceae. The record is from RNAcentral.
UCGAAUUCAUCUACAUUUUCAGUUGAUUUAUUUGUCCUCAAAUACCAAAGAGAGCAAUAAAUCGGUAAAAAAUUCAAUGUAGGUCCAUAUUUGUUGCAAUCUCACAUCAAUGGAUAUUGAUAGAAAAUGUAUGAGAAUUUUCUCAAAAGAAAUUAGUGAAAUUGUUAGAAGAUAUUGAGGUUGAAAAUAGAGAAGUCAUUAGUGAAAAUUAAUGAUAAUCAAGCAAGAAAUGAGAAAACACUAAUGGAGGUGGAAGGUAG